RNAcentral lists this ribosomal RNA (924 nucleotides) under uncultured bacterium. RNAcentral describes it as "bacterial SSU rRNA". It matches the Rfam family "Bacterial small subunit ribosomal RNA", at positions 9 to 916 of the family's 1533-position model. The record is from RNAcentral.
GAGUUUGAUCCUGGCUCAGGACGAACGCUGGCGGCGUGCCUAAUACAUGCAAGUCGAGCGGAUGACGAGGAGCUUGCUCCUCUGAUUCAGCGGCGGACGGGUGAGUAACACGUGGGCAACCUGCCUGUAAGACUGGGAUAACUUCGGGAAACCGGAGCUAAUACCGGAUAACUCAUGAGACCACAUGGUCUUAUGAUAAAAGAUGGUUUCGGCUAUCACUUACAGAUGGGCCCGCGGCGCAUUAGCUAGUUGGUGAGGUAACGGCUCACCAAGGCGACGAUGCGUAGCCGACCUGAGAGGGUGAUCGGCCACACUGGGACUGAGACACGGCCCAGACUCCUACGGGAGGCAGCAGUAGGGAAUCUUCCGCAAUGGACGAAAGUCUGACGGAGCAACGCCGCGUGAGCGAUGAAGGCUUUCGGGUCGUAAAGCUCUGUUGUUAGGGGAGAACAAGUAUCAGUUAACUGCUGGUACCUUGACGGUACCUAACGAGAAAGCCACGGCUAACUACGUGCCAGCAGCCGCGGUAAUACGUAGGUGGCAAGCGUUGUCCGGAUUUAUUGGGCGUAAAGCGCGCGCAGGCGGUUCUUUAAGUCUGAUGUGAAAGCCCCCGGCUCAACCGGGGAGGGUCAUUGGAAACUGGGGAACUUGAGUGCAGAAGAGAAGAGCGGAAUUCCACGUGUAGCGGUGAAAUGCGUAGAGAUGUGGAGGAACACCAGUGGCGAAGGCGGCUCUUUGGUCUGUAACUGACGCUGAGGCGCGAAAGCGUGGGGAGCAAACAGGAUUAGAUACCCUGGUAGUCCACGCCGUAAACGAUGAGUGCUAAGUGUUGGAGGGUUUCCGCCCUUCAGUGCUGCAGCUAACGCAUUAAGCACUCCGCCUGGGGAGUACGGUCGCAAGACUGAAACUCAAAGGAAUUGACGG